This 253-nucleotide ribosomal RNA is filed under the name uncultured bacterium. RNAcentral's name for it is "partial 16S ribosomal RNA". It matches the Rfam family "Bacterial small subunit ribosomal RNA", at positions 524 to 776 of the family's 1533-position model. The record is from RNAcentral.
UACGUAGGUGACAAGCGUUGUCCGGAAUUACUGGGCGUAAAGCGUGCGCAGGCGGGUUUGCAAGCCGGAUGUGAAAUCCCCGGGCUCAACCUGGGAAUGGCAUUUGGGACUGCAAGGCUCGAGUGCGGCAGAGGAGACUGGAAUUCCUGGUGUAGCAGUGAAAUGCGUAGAUAUCAGGAGGAAUACCGAUGGCGAAGGCAGGUCUCUGGGCUGACACUGACGCUCAUGCACGAAAGCGUGGGGAGCAAACAGG